AGAAAUUUUAUUUUUCAACAAAACCUGUUCCACUGUACCAAACACUUCCUUAAUCAAUAGAUAGCACAUAUCAUGGAUUACCCUACAAGGACCCUAUGCAAAUCUCAUGGUUUUUAACAAGGACAAUUUCUAGCCUGUGGCUGUGAUGACGCCGAAAACUACUACGACUAUUCAUUUCUGUUUUUAAUUUUCUCUUCAUUUUUAUUUCCCUUUUUCAAAAAAUAAAAUAAAGCCAUUUUCCACAUGGCUUACAAAAUAGAUGAACUGUACACACCCUCAUGGCCAACGGUCCAUUCUUCUUUAUUUCCUUUUCUCACCUUUGUUUUCCCCCCUAUAUUUAUUUAAAUGAAUGCACCAAUUUAUAGAACAAGAACCAUAGAAGCAAAAAAACCUAGCAUUUCUAUUUUAAUGUACUGUCCUUCCUACAAUCUUUUUCUUACUACUACUACAAUCACUAUCUCUAGUUACUAUAAUGAAAGAUCUUGAAGAACAAAUCAACCUUGAAACUCCAGCCCAUUAUCAUGACUUCUCUACUUCAUUUUCAUCCUCUAAUAGCUUAAAUUCUCCUUCAACCAUCACCACUUCUUCUUCGUCCUCCUCCUCCUUCCUGAAGAGCAAUACGAAAAUCUCAAUAGAAUAUAAAGUGAAAACAAUCUCAAAAGAAGUUCAAGAAUUCAACUACAAAGCAAAUGAUCAUAUUGGUGGCACCGAUGAGAACAGGAAGAGAAGGAAAAAAGAAGGCGAUGACAAGCAUCCGACAUAUAGAGGAGUUCGUAAGAGGAAUUGGGGAAAAUGGUGUCCGAAAUUCGAGAGCCAAGGAAAAAAUCAAGAAUAUGGUUUGGAGCUUAUUCAACGGCUGAAAUGGCAGCUUGAGCUCAUGAUGUCGCGGCUUUAGCCAUCAAAGACACUCGGCUUACCUUAAUUUUCCUUAUUUAGCUGAUCAACUCCCACGACCAGCUUCUAUUUCCCCUAAGGACAUUCAAAUCGCGGCUGCAAAAGCCGCUGCCACCACAUUUCCCGAGGAAAUGAAGUCUCGAGCCGAACCCAGCCAUGAAAUCUCGAGCCCAAUCGAGCUACAGAGUUCAUGUUCAUCCACCGACUUAUCAACGGACAACGAUGAUACAUUUUUCAACCUGCCUGAUCUUUCAAUCAAUAAAGUAGAUCAAAUUGGCCGUUAUUCUGAUCCAAUUUCAACUUGGCCGCAGGUUGAAGCCGAUGUUGGAUUCUGGCUCGAGGAGCCAUUUUUAUGGGAGAGCCACUAGAAAACAAACAAAACACUUAAAAAAACCAACCAUUAUAGCAAAAGCCAAAUUUUGUAAACUCGUGUUCAUAUAUAUCUACCAUAGUUUUCUACUUUAAUGAAUUUCUUGUUUAUGCUGAACCAAACAACAAUAAUAAAAAUGCUUCACUGUAACAAUUAGAGAGCAAUUGCCGCCCAUGCUGGAUGUCAAGGUCGAACUCCUCCUGUGUAAAUUUCCUCAUAUUAGCAAAUGUAGAUAAAUGGAGAAGGGUUGGGAUGUUUGUUUACCCUCAAAAUCGAAUAACAAUUAAAUUUGUAGUGGUUUUAAAGAUACGCUGAUUAAUUUGAUACUAAGUGACAAGUUGAGUUAGAUUGAACAAACAAAGAUGAAAUAAAUUCAAAUCACACGAGGAGGAUAAUUCCAGCCUUAGUGAAGUAUUCACCCCCGAUCUAGACUUGCAAUGGCCAACACUGAUGAACAAGAAAAAGAGCUAACAACAGAGAAAAUAAUAAUAUAUUGCUUUGGAAUGCGUGUAACAAUCUGUUUCAUGAAUUAUCAGACAUCCUUUUAUAUAGUAGGGGAGUCCUACUUUAGGUACAAUUUUGUAAAAGGUAAAAAAAUCUUUUGAUUAACUAACUGUCGGUUCUUUAUCGAUACGUGUCGAGAUCCCCGCUGUCACACCCCUUUUUUUACAAGCUUCACUAACCCUCUUAUAUAAAUAAAAAGAUUUAGUAAAGCUCGACAGGGUUUUUCAAUUAGAAAGUGACAAAAAAUUGUGUUCAAAAGAAAAUAACUCAGAGCCACCACCUGACAUUUGAUUUCGGUGUGUCCGGUCACCGUUUUUUUUUUCUAAAAAUAAUUUUUUCCUUUCAAAGCACUUGAGACUCCAAAACUAAGUCUGCACCAGAGAUUCGGGUAAGAGGUUCAUUUGACUCGGGGAGAAGGUGUUAGGCACUCCCCAAGUUCUGUAACUAGUACGGUUGCAUACUCGAUCUAGUUAGCUUUUAAAAUAUUCAAGUUGAGGUAAAGUCACAGAAAAGAAAAUACACACAAAAAGGCUAGAAGUCGUCCCCACCUAAUAAAAGAAAAAUAAAAAUAAAUAAAAGCUAGCCUACAUUAUACUUCCUCCAUGGUGUUCGUCACAGCUUCCAAAUACAUGUACUACGGGGGCAUACCCCGGAUAAAGUAUAUACAAAUCCUUCGGGGCAUUCCCCGGAUAAAUUUAACUAAGGGAACGACCUCUCGCCUCAUAAAUUCAAAUAAAAUCCUAAAGGUUUGCCUACCCAAGUGUGGCCGGCCGAGACAUGUUUCUAGCGGGUAAAUUAAUAAAUGCAAAGAAUGAAAUGAGGGAAAUCAACCUAAGCUAAAAUCAUUUUAAUCGCUAGUUAUCAAAAAAUCCGUCUUAGCAUCCCAAAUCGUUUUUGAAUCUUCAAAUCCCGAACCUCAAUCCCAUUUCUGUUCAUAAGCAUCAUCUAUCCAUUAAUUUCUAUGUGUGAUUCAGCACAUACAAGUAAUUCAAAGCCGACAUUACAAGUAACAAAUGUACAAGGACCUAGACCCCAACCAAAAAUAAGCAAACAAGCUCAACUAAAAUAAAACAAAAAGGCAAUUUGACAGAACUUAAACCAACCAAGAACAUUAAGCCAUUAUCAUGUAAUUAGUAUAGCACAUGAGAAAUAACAACACGCAUAAUAAAGAGAAGGAGAUGAGAGGGACCUCAAAAACAGAAUCUGAUUGCAACCGUUCGAAAGAUUGGAAGCAUGAAUACUCGAGAUGGCAUACAAGUACUUGACAGAAACUUUGGAACAAGACCUGGACCGGAAAAUCGAUUGGCGACCUCCAUCGGCAACAAGAACUCAAACUUUAAAAACGAGAAAAAAGCAGGAUGUAGCGGGUGACAAGUGAUAUGAAACUCGACUGGGCAGAAACAACUUUAGCAACAAAUGGCAAAUUCGACCUAAAACAAAACCUCUUAGAAAUCCAGAUUUUAGAAGCU
RNAcentral lists this long non-coding RNA (3237 nucleotides) under Nicotiana tabacum (common tobacco). Its description in RNAcentral is "long non-coding RNA (NTAB_LNC010530)". The record is from RNAcentral. Lineage: Eukaryota; Viridiplantae; Streptophyta; Magnoliopsida; Solanales; Solanaceae.